AUGCCCUUGGACUUCACGAGGCACUUCCCAUCCGUGCCGCAGGAAUUCAAGCUGAAGACGAACACCGACUGCUUCUGGAGGGUCAUUGUCCGACUGUUGAACGGCAGGGUUACCCUCAAUCAGGGUUGGGCCACCUUCGCCGCUGUCCAUCAGAUCAAGAUAGGCUUCAUGGUGACCUUUAAGCUGUUGACUCCCGACAUGUUGAAGGUCAUCGUCUUCAAUGACGAUGGCAUUGAAGUGGUGACUAGGUGCAGGAGGCACGACGACGCCUUCGCCAUGAACGUCUGUGACAAUCCCUCGUAUGCUCCAGUUGCUUUAGUUUAA
Molecule: ribosomal RNA, 324 nt
Filed under: Triticum aestivum (bread wheat)
Lineage: Eukaryota; Viridiplantae; Streptophyta; Magnoliopsida; Poales; Poaceae
Description: partial small subunit ribosomal RNA
Source: RNAcentral